CAGAAAUUUAAGAGGGGUUUGGGUAGAGAGCCAAGAGAUGAUUGUGGAUGAAUUGCCUUCCACCCAAAUUAAGUUGGCAAAAAGAUGCUGAACGGCCUAUUGUAGGCCAAGCUUGGUUGCAGUGAGCUCAAUGACUGGCAUGGAGGCAGUCGGCAGACAUUUGUCUCCGGAACAGAUAAGUUGGCCUACAUGAUCUCUGAUAACGUAUCGAGCAACAGCUUUAGAAUGUGUAACAGAAGCAUCACAGUUAAGUUUAAUAACUCCAAAGGGGGC
RNAcentral lists this long non-coding RNA (273 nucleotides) under Elaeis guineensis (African oil palm). Its description in RNAcentral is "long non-coding RNA (EGUI_LNC000451)". Lineage: Eukaryota; Viridiplantae; Streptophyta; Magnoliopsida; Arecales; Arecaceae. The record is from RNAcentral.